Esox lucius (northern pike) is the source of this 1105-nucleotide long non-coding RNA. RefSeq lists it as uncharacterized. The record is from RefSeq and is a predicted model, not a curated record. Lineage: Eukaryota; Metazoa; Chordata; Actinopteri; Esociformes; Esocidae. The transcript is spliced from 5 exons.
AAACCGGCAGAUCCGUGUAACAGUCACGCCCGUUUUACUGCACCGUUCCAGAUACGGCCCGCAUGUAGUCUGUGUAAUCAAGAGUAGGCAUCAGUCGGCGGAAUCAUAAUAGUUCUGGCCCGGACUCGUCGGAACGAGCACGCGAACUGUUGGUCUUUCUUUGGAUCAUUUCGGACUGCAAGCUUUGUGGAAAGAGUUUAUAACGGUUUUCGAUGGCUAAUUGACUGUUGGUCUUUCUUUGGAACAAUUCGGACUGCAAGCGUUGUAGAAGAGUUUAACGAUUUCGGCUCAAUGCUGUAGGAGGACAGAACUCCAAAAGAGUAACUUAGAAUAUACUUUCAAGGAUUUUCUCAAACACAGUGGCCAAACAGAUUAAUUGGAAAGGAGUAAACGGGAAAAGAGGUUUUAAAGAAAUGCUGACACAAACUCUGUUGAUCAAGGCUGUACGGAAGAACCAAGCUGCUAGCUGCGCAUCGGACAACGAGAUUAACAAGCACGCCGUCCGCUGGUUCAACUUGGCCUCUGACCGUGGAGGUGGCCGCAAAGAACGUGCCAUGGCCAGAGAGGCCAUUCAUUAACCGUGAAAUGAACGCAUCGGCCAUCCCCCACUCUUCCACCAUUGAUGAUUUGUUGGGUGUUAUGUGAGAGUUGUGGCAUUCCCACUUCACUUGCCUCAUCAAUGUUUCCUGUAAAGCCACCAAAGAACGUGUAUGAACAUUUUGUUUUUUCUGGGUUUCAUAUGACUAGAGUUGGAUAUUGUAUUUUGGCUAUAAAACCUUUGUUAUUUAUACCAUGGUCAUGGAAAAUGGUUAAAAUCUAAAUGGCUGGCAGGUAUUAUCUAUUAAGACAAACUUAUCGCUAAUUAAAACGUUACAUCUUGUGUGUUUAGGCCGUAGAAUCUCGUUUCUCUGCUGGCUUUAGCUUUUUUUUCUGCUUUAAUUUAAAAAAUAACCACAAAAUAACACCUGUGUCAUAGGUAUGUGGUAGUAAAGAAGUUUCUUAUUCCUACAGUUGUCCUGUAGUUGUUCCUACAAGAAGUUUAUUAUUCCUACAGUUGUUAAAGACAGAAAUGAGCUGUAAAAUGUGUUUCUGUCCUGUCUUUUUA